This 247-nucleotide ribosomal RNA is filed under the name Bacteroides fragilis. RNAcentral's name for it is "partial 23S ribosomal RNA". It matches the Rfam family "Bacterial large subunit ribosomal RNA", at positions 1 to 259 of the family's 2925-position model. Lineage: Bacteria; Pseudomonadati; Bacteroidota; Bacteroidia; Bacteroidales; Bacteroidaceae. The record is from RNAcentral.
AAGAAAGUAAAUAAGGGCGCAUGGCGGAUGCCUUGGCUCUCGGAGGCGAUGAAGGACGUGAUAAGCUGCGAUAAGCUUCGGGUAGGUGCAAAUGACCUUUGAUCCGAAGAUUUCCGAAUGGGACAACCCGGCAUUCUGAAGGAAUGUCAUCCAACCUGGUUGGAGGCUAACGCAGGGAACUGAAACAUCUUAGUACCUGCAGGAAAAGAAAAUAAAUAAUGAUUCCCCUAGUAGUGGCGAGCGAACG